CGUCGCCGUCGGUGACGGCGCGCACCACGGCGCCCAGGACGUCGUCCAACCGCGGCAGGGCGGGACGCUCGUGCUCGGCGCCCGGGGCGAGGUC
This 94-nucleotide transfer RNA is filed under the name Cellulomonas phragmiteti. RNAcentral's name for it is "tRNA-Leu". Lineage: Bacteria; Bacillati; Actinomycetota; Actinomycetes; Micrococcales; Cellulomonadaceae. The record is from RNAcentral.